CUCCCGGCUUCACCGUCCCUCGUAAAUAACGCCAGCACCGUGGCUGCGGCAGUGCCACUUGGGCCCCUGAGGCUGCGGACCUUUGGGAUACAGGCCUUGCUGGCUAGUGGCUCUGAGGCCAUGGGCGACCAAGCUGUGGCCCCGGACAGGGCCUGAGCAAGGCCCCUGUUCCUCUCGAAACCCAGAGGCAGCCCAAGUGGGAAGGGCCCAGGAAGCGGAGGUCCCUCCAAGCACCAAGCUGGGCUCUGACCUUGGCUUGUGCUUGCCAGCUCCUAACCGCUCAUCCACAGAACACGGCAUCGGCCGUUACAUGGAAAGGAGACUCCCCCAGGACUGGGAGGUGAGAGGAGGGUGAGGGGCCGUGAGCAGCCAGGACCGCGGCUGCCCCGGGCCACC
Molecule: long non-coding RNA, 396 nt
Organism: Tupaia belangeri chinensis (Chinese tree shrew)
Lineage: Eukaryota; Metazoa; Chordata; Mammalia; Scandentia; Tupaiidae
Exons: 3
Source: RefSeq, a predicted model, not a curated record